AAGUCGUAACAAGGUAACCGUAGGUGAACCUGCGGUUGGAUCAUUAACCAAUAAAAUGAGUUUGUUUAUUUGAUUAGUUUGAGAGCAAUCUCCUAAUUAUCUAACAACUUUUUUACACCUUUGUGCACAAUUUAUUUAUAUAGGGAAUGUAUUUCGAUACAUUUACCUAUAUAAAAACAUAAAAACCCAACAACAUUUUAAAUUUGCCUGAGAUUUUUUACAAUAAAGUAAUUAAAAACAACUUUUGACAACGGAUCUCUAGGCUCUU
RNAcentral lists this unclassified non-coding RNA (268 nucleotides) under fungal sp. Its description in RNAcentral is "partial internal transcribed spacer region". The stretch from base 1 to 46 matches the Rfam family "Eukaryotic small subunit ribosomal RNA", at positions 1786 to 1831 of the family's 1831-position model. The record is from RNAcentral. Lineage: Eukaryota; Fungi.